This 247-nucleotide long non-coding RNA is filed under the name Brassica napus (rape). RNAcentral describes it as "long non-coding RNA (BNAP_LNC002726)". Lineage: Eukaryota; Viridiplantae; Streptophyta; Magnoliopsida; Brassicales; Brassicaceae. The record is from RNAcentral.
UUUUUUGUUCUUCUUUUGAAACAGAAGGACAAGUAGUUUAUUAACCUAAAUACUAUGAGAAACUUACUAGAAUCUAACUAUUGGAGCGCACGUGUUUGGCCCUGGAACUGUCACAUCACUUGUCCUUCUAAUUGACCGACCCUGCCUGUGACGCCUUGAUCAGAUAUGUGCUUCUGGUAUAUGAGAAACUAUACUACCUGUGAGGCAGCUCGAGAAUUUUCCACGCGAAAUCGAUUUAACUCCAGUC